UACGUAGGGGGCAAGCGUUGUCCGGAAUCAUUGGGCGUAAAGAGCGUGUAGGCGGCCCGAUAAGUCAGAUGUGAAAGCCCCGGGCUCAACCUGGGAAUUGCAUUUGAGACUGCGUAGCUAGGGUGCGGAAGAGGGAAGCGGAAUUUCCGGUGUAGCGGUGAAAUGCGUAGAUAUCGGAAGGAACACCAGUGGCGAAAGCGGCUUCCUGGUCCAGCACCGACGUUCAGGCACGAAAGCGUGGGGAGCAAACAGG
This 253-nucleotide ribosomal RNA is filed under the name uncultured bacterium. RNAcentral's name for it is "partial 16S ribosomal RNA". It matches the Rfam family "Bacterial small subunit ribosomal RNA", at positions 524 to 776 of the family's 1533-position model. The record is from RNAcentral.